AUCUAUGGCUAUACCACCCUGAACAUGUCUGAUAUAGAUUGAUGCCUGAUUUCUAAAGCUAAUCUGGGUGGGGUCUGGUUAGUUCUUACAUGAAGACUGCUUGGGAAUACUAAGUGUUGUAGGUU
RNAcentral lists this ribosomal RNA (125 nucleotides) under Dasypus novemcinctus (nine-banded armadillo). The record is from RNAcentral. Lineage: Eukaryota; Metazoa; Chordata; Mammalia; Cingulata; Dasypodidae.